ACCACCUCAAGGUUUUGUCCGUCAGCUUAGGUGAUCUUGAGACUAUCUUGAAGGGACACCUAUCUUCUAUGUCCUUUGUCUAGAAGAUAAGGGGACUCCCUCCCUUCCUAGUGGCCUGGACCCAGGACAGGUAAGCAGGGUUUUUAUGGGCACAGCCCUUGCCCAGAACUGCCUGCUCCAUCCCUGGCCCCUCCCAGCGCAGGCCCUCUUGGAGUGGGGUGCAGAUGUCCUGGCUUGUCUCCUUCAUUGUUCUGUUUUCUUCAGACCCAUGCCUAGUGAGGCUGAAUCCCCCAGAACCUACAGACUCAGCCCCUGAGCUGGUCCAACCAGUUGUACGGGAGGAGGGGGCACCUCCAAGCCAGAGCAGCCCAGCCCAGACAGAGCAGCUGGGGCCAUACUGCAGGCGGACCUGGAAGGAGGGACAGCAACCCAGCCAUGGGGCUCCAAGAGAGACGGUCUCUGCUGCUGAUGCCGCUGUUGCUGCUGGUCCAGUGUGGGGCAGGUCUGGAGAGCAUUGGCUAUGCCCCCCAGCUCUCCAGCGCCACCCUGUUGGGAAAGCUCACACAGUCCACCUUCACGCUGGAGCAGCCCCUGGGCCAGUUUGAGAAUGUCAGCCUUUCUGACCCAGACCCCAUCUGGCUGGUGGUGGCUCAUAGCAACGCCACCCAGUACUUUGCUGCCCCACAGAAGGUAGAGGACAUACAUGCUCCUGCCAGCUUUGACCACAACGGCUACUACCUCACACUGAGGACCAGCCGGGUACACUACCAGGGUGGCCAGUCUGGCAACCAGCUCCGAAUCCUCCGCGUUGGCAAUGAUACCAAGUGUUCCUUGAAGUCCCUGGGCUGUAACUCUCCUCUGCCAGGUGCUGGCCCCUACAGAGUGAAGUUCCUGGCCAUGAACGCCAAGGGUCCUGUGGCUGAGACGGAGUGGUCUGAGGAAAUCUACCUGCAGCAAGCCCAGACAUUCCCAGGAGCCCCAGGGUCCCGAAGCAAGAGUACUGUGAUCAUCAUCGUCUUCUCUUCAAUCUUGCUGGCGGUCUUCCUCGCCCUGCUCAUAUCCGCUAGGCCUGGUUUUCUCCGCGGUCGCCGCUUGCCCCCUGGCGGCAGUUUUCGGAGUUGCAAGCGAGUAGUCAGAAAACACUCCAAAAGUGAAGCCCUGCAGGUGGAAAGGUGAAUUGCGGUCAGGCUCAGCCCACUAAAAUCCUUGGCUUUGACAUCUCAGCCAGAGAGCUGAAGUACUGGGGGCUGGCACAAAAGUUCCCAGAAGAAAAGACAUUCAACGCCCGGAGGGACCUGGAGAGGCAUCUCUGUAUAGGAGAAGCAGAGGUUUCCGGGAGGUGUGUGGGCCCAGGCCAUUACUCCUGGAGACAGUUUGCCAGCAGCUGCUGGAACACUCCUGUAUCCAGCCCGGAGGAGCAAGUUCGCAUGAGACAAUAUCACACCCACCACAUGGACAGCCUUCGGGCCGAGCAGAGUUCCUGAGAGAUUCCAAGGGCUUUCUCCAGGGGCCAAGCGGCUGAACCUGGACUGGGGCCUGCUUGGAACCUUCUGGAACUCUAGGGGGAAACGCUUUCAAUCCAAAGCUUGGACUAGCCGGUUCUUAUCAGAAAUAAAUUUCCCUAAUACUUU
Molecule: RNA transcript, 1631 nt
Organism: Alexandromys fortis (reed vole)
Lineage: Eukaryota; Metazoa; Chordata; Mammalia; Rodentia; Cricetidae
Gene name: uroplakin-3b-like protein 1
Exons: 7
Source: RefSeq, a predicted model, not a curated record